UACGGAGGGGGCUAGCGUUGUUCGGAAUUACUGGGCGUAAAGCGCACGUAGGCGGAUUGUUGAGUCGGGGGUGAAAUCCUGAGGCUCAACCUCAGAACUGCCUUCGAUACUGGCGAUCUUGAGUUCGGAAGAGGUUGGUGGAACAGCUAGUGUAGAGGUGAAAUUCGUAGAUAUUAGCUAGAACACCAGUGGCGAAGGCGGCCAACUGGUCCGAUACUGACGCUGAGGUGCGAAAGCGUGGGGAGCAAACAGG
Molecule: ribosomal RNA, 253 nt
Filed under: uncultured bacterium
Lineage: Bacteria
Description: partial 16S ribosomal RNA
Rfam family: Bacterial small subunit ribosomal RNA
Source: RNAcentral